This 9800-nucleotide long non-coding RNA is filed under the name Marmota monax (woodchuck). The record is from RNAcentral. Lineage: Eukaryota; Metazoa; Chordata; Mammalia; Rodentia; Sciuridae.
CACUGGCCUGGGGCUUCAUCCCAAGUUACCUACAGUUCCGCACUCCCUUCGGAACCUGCUAGUGAUUACGACCGAAAGCGGAAAAGAAAUCCCGGUGGAGGCUCCGUUGGCUUCUCCAGGAAUGAUAAAGAUGCCUUCCCGGUGGGAAGAUCGGAACCCUCCCUUGCAAUCUGCUGAAGGCCAUGGUGAGCAUCCUUAUCCUUUUGGACAGACCAGGAAGGGCCCGGCCAUCCCCACUUCCAGGCUGGACUCCUCAGAGGUGCAGUUUGACACUCUCUGAAGCGGAUUCUAAGUUCCGAGUCGGCCGAGCCUGGGCAGUACUACACCGCGCGGUACAAGUGCAGCCUGGCACACUCGUUCCACACCCGGCUCCUCGCCAGCAAGCCCAUUCUCAGGUAAGAAUUUUAAGUACUUUAAGAAAUUUUUCUAAAUAGACUCUCUAAUUAAGGGAUUGACACACUUAUUCUGUAAGGAGCCAAAUAGCAAAUAUUUUAGGAUUUGGAGACCAGAAGCUGCCUCUGUCACAGAUUCGUCUUUGUCAGUUUUAGUAAGCUUGUAAAAUGAGAGGGGAAAAAAAAGAAAAAAAAAAAAAAAAACUCAGCAGACAGUGAUUAGAGGCUAGUCAUGCACUGCCUGGCUCAGAGGCUGAGAACUCAGUGAGUUCCCCACCACUGCUGGUCUGACUUGCUCGCCUUUAACGACCUGGGUUCUGUGAGGAUUGUGCUCCCCCCGCCCCCCACGUUGUGCUUGGGCAUCACCCCUAGGCUUAGUUCACCAUCUCUUAAAUCCUACACUUGUGCUCCGCCUUUUCUCCUGGAGGCAGAUGGUGAGUUCCUGGUAUUCAUCAAGGCCACCAGGAACCCCUGCUCCACCACCCGCCCCCUGCAGUGUGCAUGAACUACACACACACAAAUACACACUGGCAGCCAGAUCAUUCUUUGCUCUGAAGUGACAGUUACUUCUCAUCUAAGAGCAAAAACCAAAGCCCCUACAUUUCGAGUAAACUUGUUUAGUGGAAAACGAAUUCAAGAAAUCUCAAACUACUUAUUUUAAUAGCUUUUUUCCCCUAGUAAAAAAUUUAAUAUAUGUCCACUAUGGUAAUUUAGAAAAUAAUGAAAAGAAUAUAGACAAAAAUUCUCCACAAACCUAAUCCAUAUAAAAUAACUUAAAAUAUUUAUGUAUUCUUUUAGUCCUUUUUUUCAUCACAAACUGAUAGGAAACUUACAGAACAGCUAGACUUUUUUUUAAUCUUAAACUUUUGUUUAAGUACAACAUAGAAAAAAGUGCACAAAUUGUAAAUAUAGUUCAGUAAGCUUUAAAACUAAUACAAACAUACCCUGGCAAUCACAAUCUAGAUCAAGAAAUAAACUGUUAGAAGCAUCCUUUGUGCCCUUGUCCAGUCACAGAGUUCUCCCCAAAUAUACGCACUACCUUAUCCUUAGAUAUAUGGGUAAGUUUUGUUAUGUUCUUGAAUUUUACAUGAAAUUAUUUAUUCAAUAAGUAUUCUAUAGUGUUUGGUUUCUUUCACUCCAUGUUAUAUUUGAGUUUGUGCAUGUUUAAUGUAACAGCUCUUUUUAAAUUUUUUAAUUGUUUAUAUGCUAAUAUGGUAUUUAGUUGUAUGAAUAUGCAGAAUUUAUCCUCUAUAUAUCUGUUGUUUUCUUAAUGACUUUAUUAUAAUAGAAUUCACAUGCCAUACAAUUAAUACAUUUGAAGUAUAGAAUUCAGUAUGGUUUUUUUAGUAUAUUCACAGAUGAAUGUAACCAUUACCCACACUCAAAUUUUAGAAAAUGUUUAUCACCUGAAAUGAGCACUAGGGCAUAUUAAAGUCACAUAGAAUGUGGGAAAAUAUCUCAUUAGAUGGAACUGUCCUUAGCAUAACUGUCAAUUUAGCAUAAAUGCUGUCUACUAAAGACCAGUAGUACCAUCCCAAUCUAAUGUCAAAAUGUCUUCACAGUUUUUCAGAACAUCCCUACAGUGAACAAUAUGGGCCUACAUGCAUUGAGAAUCUUUGUCACAUGAUCUGCCACUGUUUCCUAUGCUUAUGUCUCAAACCAUACAGAUCUCUCUCCAACUCAGGGAUUUGGGGAUUGCUUUUACUUCUUAUAGAAUGUUCCUCCCCUAAAUAUUCUGUACUGACUCUUUUCCUCAGGUCUUUGUUCAAAUGUCAUUAUCUCUGUUAGACCUAUAUAUUCAAUAAGCAAGCAAAAAGCUUGCACAUUCUCUCCCAUAUACAUUAUUUUGCUGGUGCUGCCAGAGCUAAUGGACUGAUUGACUUAAACAACAAAGUUGUAUUUUCUCAGUUGUGGAGACUGAAGUCCAUGAUCAAGGUGUUGGUAGGUUUGGUUUCUCCUGAGGCUUCUUGCCUUGACUUGUAGUUGGCCACCUGUAGUUAUAUCCUCCUGUGGUUUUUCUUCUGUGCUUAUAGCAAAUUUCCUCUUGUAAGGACACUAGUUAGAUUAUGUUAGAGCCCCACCUUAAGCCCCCAUUCUAACUUAAUUACCACCUUAAAAUCCUUAUGUGCAAAUAUACUUACAUUAUAAGAAACAUGAAUUUUGUGGAAAGAAUAUGAUUCAGUCAUACUAUCAUCCAUAGUUUAUUUUUACCUAUACCCCUUAUUUUAAGUGCAAUGUUUUAAUUAUUUAAUUUGUUUAUUGUCUCACCUUCUGUUCUACUAAAAUAUACUUUCCAUAAGGGAGGGAUUUUAAUCAAUUUUCUUCUCUGUAGUGUCUCCAAUGAGUAAGAAAUUGUAAUUUUACUCAAAGCUAACAUAUGGACAACCUUAAAUUUACUCCUAAUAACUCUGUAUCUCUCAGGGCAUUUUUUAGACCUAUUAGAAGUCCAGUAAGGCAUGCUUUUUUAAGUUAUGUUUGAGUUUCUUAGCAAAGAGGAUUAGAAUCGUAAAAGAUCCAGCUUUAUACCAAGGAGUAUAAGAAAUGUAAUAGGUUUGUUUCCAAAGCAACAAAAAGGUUUACCUGAUAAGUUGACUGAGGGUUCUUCCAUAAUACAUAUGAGUAUUCAAGUUGCUGAGGACCCUUUCACACAGAAAAAUGCUUAGAGCCAUCAUCAAAGAAAUCCGCCUAUUAUAAGCUAGUUUUUAACCACCUUUUUUUUUUCUUUACGUGGUCAGGCUCAAGAAGUAUGAUGAGCUUUCAAAAAGAAAAAGAGAUGGAAAUCACCAACUAUGCUGCCUACUGAAUGAAUAUUUCUUUGUAGCAUGUGCAGAGUCAAGGAAAAUUAUAUUCCUGCAUUGUAUAAUCUACCAACAGUCUACUUUCCUACUGUUUCAAUCUAGGAUAUUCUUUAAAAAGCAGAGCCUGAGACAUAGGUAAAGACAUUCUGUUUGGAAUUUGAUCCCAGGGAGAAGGAGUGAAAGAGAAAUGAAGAGGGAGAAAUGGAAAAGAUCAAAGCAAAACAAGGUAGUGUUUUCAAGUGGUACACUACUGUGAAUGGUUGCAUAAUAUAUAACCUUCUCAAGAAUCUUUGUUUCAGAGCUAUAUUCCUGAGGGAUGAAAGGGAGAAAUAUUUUUAUGUCAGCAGCCAUCUGCUUUGUGUUGACAGCUGCAGUGAGUCCCCGUCACAAGGUGCCUCUCUGGUAUAGGACAUCACACCUUGCUGCAACAGAGAAGCUUUGGGACAGGAGGCUUGAUUCUUCGUGCAUGCUUGACAUAUGGCACUGUCAGCAUGAAGCAGGGUAAAACUUCCUAGACUAUUCACCAGAGCUGCAGCUGGAAUCAGGUUAAAAGACUUGAGAGUACAGAAGAGGCAUUUUAUAAGCCUGCAUAACACACGGUUAGACCUGUCUAAAUUGGUUUCCUCCCUUUUUACUAUAAUCAUAAUAUCCAGAACAAGUUGAUAGAAGGGUUAAAUAGGAAGGUUAUAUGUUUAUACCAGUUUUAACCUCAAGUUUAACCUCAAGUUUAUAAGAAAGAGAAAGUGACAGUGGAACUUGGAAAACUGAAAAUGAUUCUACUUGAAAAAUUUUGACCAUUGGAAAGAGAUAUUAGAUACUGUCUAAACUUCUGUCAUAUCAGAAAUAGUCAUGAAUUGUUUCGAGAAAAAUGAAGAAUAAAAUUAACCAUUUCAUGUAUCUCCAUGAGCUUUAUAAAUCAAUGUUAUUAACUUUUCACAGGAUACUACUUUCUACAGUCAUACAACACUAGUAUUACAAAGCUUACAACUAAUGAAAAGAAACAGGCAGAAACAUAAGAAGAAAAAUAAUUGGGAUCACAUAUAGGGUUGUCAUUAAUGUUGGUUGGAUUCUGGGGAACUGCAUGAUUUCGCUUGGCUUUCUUCUGUGAGUAUUAUCUACUUUUAUUUCGUUUGGAAUUUUCAUUAAUAGAGUGUAGUAUUUGAGUUAUUCAACUCAAUAUGUGUCGAGCUCCUGUUUAUUAGCACUUUAAACAUGCGAACAAGACGUAGAGCAUUACAUCCCAAAACAUUAGAAUUUCUGUUUUGUUUUUUUUUUAAGGUAUACUUUAGAAUAUUUAUUUACCAACACUGACCAUAGGCUGGAUCACAAGUCUCAACAAACUUCAAAAGAUUGAAUCAUACUUAGUAUGAAUUAAACCAGAAGUUUAUUACAUAAAGAUAACAAAAAAAUUCCAGAUGUUUGUAAGUUAGGAGCAUAAGCCUAGUUACCAAUGGGUCAAACAGUAAAUCACAACAGAAUUUAGAAAAUAUUUCAAAAUGAGUUCUAAUGAAAAAACACCAUCAAAACCAAAUUCUAUGAAAGCAAAUGCUUACAGCUCUAAAUUCACACAUAAGAAAUUGUAUAAAAAUCUUGACUAUUGCUGUUUCAAAAAGCCAGAGCAGUGGGGAGCAAGUGAAGGGAGAGAAGUAGACAGACAUUGGACACCUGGUAGCAAAGGACUGAUAAUUCAGAGAACAACACAAGGCAAAACCUACAGUGGCUUUGAUUUUCUGCAGAUGAGCACUCUGGAGCAAUUCAGGAGAAGGAACAUAAGCAGAGCAUUCUUGCUGAGUUGAGAAAAAGAUGAGUUGAAACUGGAAUGGUUUGAAUUUUCAGGGUAGGGAUUAAGUGAAGCGGAAGGUAUGCAGAGAAAAAACUGCACAAAACAUACAUAGAGAUCCUCUUGUGCCCAUUGCUGAACAUUAAGCCUAACCAUACUCAAAGUUAACAUUAGACUUGGAAACAUUUAAUUUCCAUCUAGUUAUAGUGGAGAGUCCUCCCUGAGAACUCCAGGGAUUUGCCAAAGAUCCCUAAAAGGUUACACAUAAUAUAGAUAGGGCUAACUGUUUUGAAUAAAAACUGCCCCCUCCCCCCAAGAGCAAGUUGAAUAUUAUAAAACCAAUCUUCAAGUAACCACCUGCCUGAACAAAAUCCAAAUUUGUUAGUUGUAGUCCUGCAAGAAGCACAUAUAAAGAUAGAAUUUAAUUUCUAAAAGAUUUGUUUGGGGAAAUUCCUCUGAGGGUUGAAAUGGAGAAGAAUCCAGAAGAGGUAGAAUCUUCAGACCACAUAACUUGUCUGACCUCUGUGAAGGUGCAAGGUUUAACUUUAUGUGUGUCAACAUUAUUGGGUCACAGUAUUAGUAUGCCAAGAUAUCUGGUUAAACAUUAUUUCUGGGGUGUCCAUGAGGGCGUUUCUGGAAGAGAAUGGUAUUUGAACACAUUGAGUAAACAGACUAAUCCCAGGUAUGGGCAGGUAUCAUCCUAUCUGCUGAGGGCCCGAAUAAAACAAAAAGAUGAAGGAAACAUUUUUUCUUUGCCUAUUAGGGUAGGACUCCAUCUUCUGCUCUUGGGCUGGGACUGACAGCCUCAGUGCUCCUGGCUCUCAGCUCUUUAGAGGGCAGAUCAUGGCACUUAGCCUCCAAGAUUACAAGAGCCAGUUCUUUAUGAUAAAUAUCUAUAUUGGUGGGUGAAUGAUUGGAUAGAUACGGAUAGAUCCUAUUGUUUGUUUUUCUGGAGAACCCUGGCUACUAUAGAAGGAAAAGGGAGGAAGGACCAUUAAAUAGUGGGACAUUAUGCUGCAGCACAAUUACAGUUUCAGGUCAGCUAAUGAAAAACACUGAAGCCAAAGUUUCUCAUUGGAGAACUAUUUUAGGGAUAAGCCUGCAUUAAUAUACCUGCUUUCUUAGUCAUUGUUCUGAUGUAGCCUUGGCAAGAAAAUAUCAGUGGGUUCAGAGAGCAGUAGGUGGGACACUCUUUCAUAUAAGCUCCCCUUAGCAAGAGAUCUGACUGGUAAAUUUUCAUGACUCAGUUUAUUCCUUAUUCUGUACAUCUUCAUUUGGGCCUGGCUGCCACUAAGAUGACUAGACACCAAUGUCAACUUGAACCCUAGGCCAAAUAAUCCUAGGAAUGUUUGGAUAUUCUCUUUUGCCAGUGUUAACAUAGUCACUUUAGUAAAUGACCAUGAAUUCAUAUGGGGAAGAACUUGAGGAUUCAUCACUAUACCCCUCCUACACACACACACACACCAUUUCUAACCAGGUCUUUUCCUUUUCCUUGUAGGAAACUAGUACCUCUUCCAUUUGUGGAUUCUUUAUCUGAAAAUUCCCUCAGGUUUUGGAACUGAACAAGGAAUCAUGAUAUUUAAUUGGGGUAGUAUCCUCAAACUCUUCCUUUUCCAUAUUCACCUUAUUUGGUUAUAGAUAUUUGGUUAUAAAUAUUAAGCAACAUCCUUGUUACUUGCUUGUGUGUUCUGCCUGUAGGGGUGAUACCUUCAAUUAAUCAUCUCACAAACAUGCUGUGAGUCAAGCCCACUUAACUACCCCUCCAAUUUCAUUAGUUGUUAGAUGAAUUAUGGCCUUUUUGCUUGUGGUAUUAAGUUCCAGUCUUUGGGGACCUCUAUUACUUCAGUGUCCAUUACCCCUGAAUGAUAUUAAUAAGCCAAGCUCUGACUGCCUCAUCAUCAGCCCUGUCUAAAAAGAAGAGCCAUCCACUUAUCUUAAUGAUACUGGACCUUCACACAGGUACAUUGUUGGUGGUCUUAGUGAAUUGUGUCUUCUGGGACCCCCCCUUGGAACAAAAUCUUGUGUGUUUUCUAGCCUCAUAUUAUCCAUUUCAGGAUGACUAUUUCUCUCAGCCUCUUUAUUCCUUAUCCUGCCCUUUACCAGAUCAGUGUGGACAUUUCAGUGUUGACCAUCUCUACUUUUAGGCUGCAUUAGUGGAUUUGCCCUAUCCCCUGGGGUUCUUUCUAGGAUGCUAUCUUAAUCCAUUGGUGUGGCUACAACAAAUUAUCUGAGACUAGGUAAUUGAUAAAGAACAGAAAUUGAUUUCUCCCAUUUCAGGAGGUUAGAAAUUCAAGGUCAAAGUACCAGUGUUCAGAGGGGCAAACUCUGUGUCCUCACAUGACAGAAGGGUUAGAAGGGCAAAGGGGACAUAGCUAGUUCUCUAUAGCUCUUUGAAUGGUUAUGGUCCCAUUCAUGAGGGUUCCAACCUCAUGGCUUAAUCAACUCCUAAGCACACCUCUUCUUAAUACUAUCACAUUGGCAGUAGAGUUUUGACAGUGAAUUUUGAGGGGCAUUCAAGGCUACCACAGAUUUGAAAAUACUAUGUCCUGAUAAAGUUCCUCUAAAUAAACAAAUGCUUGGUUUCCUAGUCUUGUUCUGGCCCCUUAGUUAAAGGAAUGUUAAAAUUCAUUUCUCCACCAACUUCAUGCUGAUUUUAACUAUAAUUAUCUUCCUAGCAGCUAGGAAAGAAUAAAGGCAACUUAGGAGCACAGGCCUACCUAUUGCCUUGCUGAGAAUGGGCCUUUCUGGCAUCUUCCAUGAGAGGAGGAGCAUAACAUUCCACAAAGUGCUGCCCAGACACAUGACUUCAUUGGUAAGCUCUUCCCACAUUUAAACAGGAAAAAAAUAUCAAGCUUAAUGAUUUUUAAACCUAAUAAGAAAACAUAAAACACUUCUCAGCUUAUUAUAGAAGACAAGCAUAACUUUGAUACCCAAAUCUGACAGACACAUUGCAAAAAAGAAAAUUGUAAAUGGAACCAAUGUGCAAGGAUUGGCAAAUGAGACUCAAAAGCUCACAAGAAUAAUGGAUUUUAUUCAUUAUAAGGUUACACUCAUCUUAAGAUUAUGUAAGUCAUGCAGCACACUCAAAGCAGACAGAGGUCUUGAAUAGUGUCCUGGACUCCAAGAUGGUUCCUUCUUGAAUUGGAUAAACUUUUUAGCCAAAAUGUAGUGAUAUGAGCCUCAUGACCAUUCUUAAUAUACAGCAUGUUAGGUUAGGAUGUUUAUCUUUCUCAUAUCCAGGUGUUAAUGUAACUUAUACAAUAUUUUCUUGAGAACCAUGUUUUGUAAGUUUAUAUAGAGUUUGGUUUUCUUUUUCACAAUCAGUCAUAUAUCAGGGAUAUCCUGUGAAAAUGAUUUAUAGAUAAAAUUUUACCUCCUAGUAAUUAAUAUUACAUUAUUUGAAUGAAAUAUAUUAUCAAUAUGUGUACAAGAAGAUUCACCUACAUUGCCUACUUUUUUUCUUUCCUGAAACAUCUCCCAAGAUGUCUCUCAGAGAGAAAUUAAUCAGAGGCUAGCUGAUUAACUCUUUUUCUACUCAGAAGCCAAUAAAGAUCACAAAUCUUGAUGCUCAGAUAUUAAACAAAAUAUUAUCAAAUGAAAUAUGCAAUAAAGAGACUAAUACAUCAUGAAUCUGGUUCAACAUUUGAAAAUUAAUUCACAUAUAACAGAAUAAAUAAGAAAAAAAUAUAAUAACAUCAGUAGAUGCAGAGAAAGCCAAUAAGUCAACAAUCAUUAACAAUACAAAUUAUCAGCAAACUAGAAACGGAAAGGAAGCUUUCUAACCUGAUUAGGUUAAUAAUCUAUUAAAAAUCUACAGAUAGCCAGGCACAGAGGCACAUGCCUAUAAUCAGAGCAACAUAGUAGGCUGUCAGGAGAAUCACAAGUUUGAAGCUAACCUGGACAAUUUAGCAAGACUGUGUCUCAAAAUACAAGUGCCUGGGGGUAUGGCUCAGUGGUAAAAGCACCUAUGGGUGCAUUCCCAAUACCACAAAAAUAAAGGUAAAAUAAGUAAUCUUCCCCCCAACCUCACAUUGAGAUUUAAGAUGAAUAUGUUCACUUUUAGCAACUCCGUUCUGCAUUUCACUUUAUUUCCUAGCCAGGCAAAGAAGAAGUGGGAUAAGAGAAAAAGCAGGAAUUAAUAUUGGGAAAGAAAUAAUGAAAUGUAUCACUGACUACAUGAUUGUGAAUGUAGAAACUCCAAAAUAUUCUCCAAACCAUAAGAAUGAUUGUAUAAAUUUAGCAAGGUCAAAAUAUCAUGUUAUUGCACAUCCUUACAUUGGAUCAACUGAACAAAUUCAAAUAUUUAAUAUUUGCAAUAGUAUCAAAAGCCACAAAUACCUAAGAGUAAACAUUGUAAGAUUUACGGGUUUUCUUCUUUUUUUAUCUUUUAUUGAUUUAAUGUUUUUAAAAUACAUGACAGCAGUGUAAUGUAUUACAAUUCUUAUUACACAUAUAGAGCGCAGUUUUUUGUAUCUCUGUAUAUGUUUGUGUCAAUUUAUGCCUUUUUACAUGUAUUUUGGGUUUUUUUGCAAUACAAUUCUUAAUAAAAAUAUACCACAAUUUUUCUUAUCUAUGUAUAUAAAGUAUGUUGACACCCAAUUCAAGUCUUCAUAUAUGUACUUUGUAUAAUGAUGUCCAUCACAUUCCAACAAACCCAGAAAACAUUAGUGAGACAUUAAAGAAGAUUAAAAUAAAUAGAAGUACAAACAAUGGAUGGAAGACUUAAUAGUUCAAGAUCAAUGUCUUAAAUUUACUUCUGUAUUUGUAGACAGAGUGAAUGUAAUCCAAAUCAAAAUCCCAGGUGACUUUUUUUAAAAGGAAAUCUAUAAC